Molecule: ribosomal RNA, 301 nt
Filed under: uncultured bacterium
Lineage: Bacteria
Description: partial 16S ribosomal RNA
Rfam family: Bacterial small subunit ribosomal RNA
Source: RNAcentral
CAGUAGCCGCGGUAAGACAGAGGAUGCAAGCGUUAUCCGGAAUGAUUGGGCGUAAAGCGUCUGUAGGUGGCUUUUCAAGUCCGCCGUCAAAUCCCAGGGCUCAACCCUGGACAGGCGGUGGAAACUACCAAGCUGGAGUACGGUAGGGGCAGAGGGAAUUUCCAGUGGAGCGGUGAAAUGCGUUGAGAUCGAAAAGAACACCAACAGCGAAAGCACUCUGCUGGGACGACACUGACACUAAGAGACGAAAGCUAGGGGAGCAAAUGGGAUUAGAGACCCCGGUAGUCCCUGUCUCUUAUAC